This 835-nucleotide ribosomal RNA is filed under the name Labyrinthula sp. Laby13. RNAcentral describes it as "eukaryotic LSU rRNA". The stretch from base 316 to 835 matches the Rfam family "Eukaryotic large subunit ribosomal RNA", at positions 1 to 507 of the family's 3401-position model. The record is from RNAcentral. Lineage: Eukaryota; Bigyra; Labyrinthulida; Labyrinthulaceae.
UCCCGUAGGGUGAACCUGCGGAAGGAUCAUUUCCACUAAACACUAAUUCAAAUGUAAACUUGCCAAGGCGAAAGCCCAGGCGCCCAUCUAACACAACUAAAUAUAAAAACUCCCAAAGAUGGAUAUCUAGGCUCUUGUAUCUAUGAAGGAUGCUGCAAAAUGCAUAACGUAAUGUGACAUGCGGAAACUGUGAGUCAUCCAAUAUCCUAACGCAUAUUGCGCCACCUAGUGGCAUCUUUGUAUGAGUGUGGUUUCAUUUUAUAUGGUUCGGAGACGAAAUUGCUCUGAUCAAGAUAGACUGCAUUGAAAUAUUCUUCACCUCAUAUCAAGGAAGAGCACCCCCUGGAUUUAAGCAUAUAACUAAGGGGAGGAAAAGAAACUAACAAGGAUUGGCUUGGUAACGGCGAGUGACCGGCCAUCUGCUCGCAUUGAAAAUCUAACGAAUUGUAGACUUAACCCUAGCAAGCUAGCAAAGACUUUGGAAAAAGUCACCAACGUCGGAGAUAGUCCGGGCUUGUUUUGCGCACAGGGUUUGUAAUGAGUAGACAUGCUUGGGAAUGCAUGUCGAAAUCGUAGGUAAACUACUUCGAAAGCUAAAUAUUGACAAGAGACCGAUAGAAAACAAGUACCGUGAGGGAAAGAUGAAAAGCACUUUGGAAAGAGAGUGAAACAGUCCUUGAAAUCUUUGUGAGGGAAGUGUUGGCAAUCCUGAUUGCUUCUAUUGCGGUAGAAGCGUUGUGUUCAUUGAGCGAGGUACUGCAUAAACUGUGUGUUUGGCAGCUCCGCGAAAUCACUCUUCUAGUAGUGCCUCUCAAUGUGAACAAGGGUUCUCAAC